CCUACGGGGGGCUGCAGUUUCGAAUCAUUUACAAUGGGGGAAACCCUGAUAGUGCGACGCCGCGUGGGGGAUGAAGGUCCUUGGAUUGUAAACCCCUGUCACCGGAGAACAAACGCGUAUGGCUAAUAUCCAUACGCCUGAGCUUAUCCGGAGAGGAAGCCGUGGCCAACUCUGUGCCAGCAGCCGCGGUAAUACAGAGACGGCGAGCGUUACUCGGAUUUACUGGGCGUAAAGGGUGCGUAGGUGGCCAAGUGUGUCGGGUGUGAAAUCUCGGA
RNAcentral lists this ribosomal RNA (275 nucleotides) under uncultured bacterium. Its description in RNAcentral is "partial 16S ribosomal RNA". It matches the Rfam family "Bacterial small subunit ribosomal RNA", at positions 338 to 606 of the family's 1533-position model. The record is from RNAcentral.